Molecule: ribosomal RNA, 497 nt
Filed under: uncultured bacterium
Lineage: Bacteria
Description: partial 16S ribosomal RNA
Rfam family: Bacterial small subunit ribosomal RNA
Source: RNAcentral
GACGAACGCUGGCGGCGUGCCUAAUACAUGCAAGUUGAGCGAUGAAGAUUGGUGCUUGCACCAAUUUGAAGAGCAGCGAACGGGUGAGUAACGCGUGGGGAAUCUGCCUUUGAGCGGGGGACAACAUUUGGAAACGAAUGCUGAUACCGCAUAACAACUUUAAACAUAAGUUUUAAGUUUGAAAGAUGCAAUUGCAUCACUCAAAGAUGAUCCCGCGUUGUAUUAGCUAGUUGGUGAGGUAAAGGCUCACCAAGGCGAUGAUACAUAGCCGACCUGAGAGGGUGAUCGGCCACAUUGGGACGGAGACACGGCCCAAACUCCUACGGGAGGCAGCAGUAGGGAAUCUUCGGCAAUGGACGAAAGUCUGACCGAGCAACGCCGCGUGAGUGAAGAAGGUUUUCGGAUCGUAAAACUCUGUUGGUAGAGAAGAACGUUGGUGAGAGUGGAAAGCUCAUCAAGUGACGGUAACUACCCAGAAAGGGACGGCUAACUACGUG